Long non-coding RNA from Macrobrachium nipponense, 971 nucleotides. RefSeq lists it as uncharacterized. The record is from RefSeq and is a predicted model, not a curated record. The transcript is spliced from 4 exons. NCBI's taxonomy places the organism in Eukaryota, Metazoa, Arthropoda, Malacostraca, Decapoda, Palaemonidae.
GCUGUCCUUCUGCCGCACAGUGAAGUGUUGCGCAAUUGUAUACAAUUACCGUUUGUGCCUUCUCCGCUUAGAUCAGCGACGUCGCAAACAAAAAGCGUAAGGCUCCCUCAGUGGACGCAUGCACAUCUGACGAUUUCACGCGAUCGUGUCCCCGUGUAGUGUUUUGCUACUAGCGUGAGAGAUAAAACACUUGCGCGCAAAUCUUCAUAAACUGUAGUUUCGAAAGUUUCUGUCUUUUGCAGUGCAAUUCGUUUGUGUCUUCUCUGGGUAAACUGCAGGAGUAAAAUUGAUCUGCGUCAUGAACUUAUUACUUGCACUGUCCAUCGUUCUGUCCGUGAGUGCCCAAGUGUCCACGCAAGAUGUCCUCGACGAUGUGAAGGCGGAGGAGGGCGUGGAUGAGGGCCCUUUGCCUUACCCCACUUUGUACGCUGUGCCAGAUACCAGUUUCCUUUGUGGCUUCCGGUGGGGAUUCUUCGCUGACCCAGAAACACAAUGUCAGGUCUUCCAUUUCUGCCGCGGUGGUCGCACUGACAGCUUCCUGUGCCCCAACGGGACAUUGUUCCACCAGAACUACCGGAUUUGUGACCACUGGUACAACGUUCCUUGUCCAUAAAAGGGGAUGGCGGUUGCGACAAGAGUCGACCAGCUUGUGCGGGACAUCGCAAUAUAUUCAGUGUAACAAUGGCAGCUACAUCUCAGAUUUUGUAUUACAGGAUUUGUGAACCAUCAAUGCCUAGAGAGAUGUAGCUGAAAACCGGCUUUGAUACUAUUCAGAAUAUUAACGUCAAAACAGAUUUUGUGUUAAAAUGAAAUUAGGCGAAGUGUUUUGUUUGGUAACUGUUGAGUGUUUUGAAAAGUAUAAAUUCGGAUAUAUUACCAUAUUGCACUUAAAUCCUGACAAAUGCUUUGCACUGCAGACCUACCUAUAAGGAACGUGUAAAACUUCUUAAUAAAAAGAUAAUGUAUUAAAA